Molecule: unclassified non-coding RNA, 364 nt
Filed under: Hevea brasiliensis (rubber tree)
Lineage: Eukaryota; Viridiplantae; Streptophyta; Magnoliopsida; Malpighiales; Euphorbiaceae
Source: RNAcentral
AAGAGUACCCACUGAAUACUUUGGUAACUUGGUCCUGUGGGCAUUUCCAAGUGCUAGGGUUAAAGACCUACUGCGAGAGCCAUUACCUUAUGCAGCUAAGCUCAUUCAUGAAGCAAUUGCAAAGGUGAACAACAGUUACUUCAAAUCAUUCGUCGACUUUGCCACCCACAAGGCGGAGAAGGAAGAAGACCUCGUGCCCACGGCGGAGAUGAACAAGUCGGUCUUGUGCCCUAAUUUGGAGGUUGAUAGCUGGCUAAGAUUCCCAUUUUAUGACCUGGAUUUUGGAGGAGGAAGUCCUUAUAUAUUCACGCCAUCUUAUUUUCCAACAGAAGGAAUGAUGUUUCUUCUACCUUCAUUCAUCGGA